This 2724-nucleotide long non-coding RNA is filed under the name Homo sapiens (human). RNAcentral's name for it is "GASK1B antisense RNA 1". The record is from RNAcentral. Lineage: Eukaryota; Metazoa; Chordata; Mammalia; Primates; Hominidae.
GUGUGUCACUUGCUGUGACUGUGUGGCAGCUUGCCCAUCUCCUGAGAGCCCUUGGGAAAGUGAAGGACAAUAUAUAAGGACUCCAAUCACUUAAAAGCUAAGUAUUAAGUUUUUCCUUGCCACUGCUGACCCAGGUUUGUUGCAUAGAUUGCAGACCUGGAGAUGGAUACCUUGUUCUUGGUUCAGUGCUGCACAGACUCCUCCACUGGGGGACCCUAUCCCUUGCUCCUCAUAGUCCUGAUUUCUAGGACCCAUAACCCUAUUAUAAUUAAAAUCCCAGCAUUAGCAUAGGUUCCUGGCUACAACCUUUGUCCUACUUAUUGUAUGGAAUUUGCUAAUACCUUUGCUAUCCAUUCCAACACCAGGCCUGGACAGCACCAAGCUGCCCUGCCUGCAGCUGAAAAACUUUUAACUUAAUAGUCUUUGAAGUUUUGUCAUAGAAGUGUUAAAUAGUACUCUAUACUGUAUCUGUCUUUUGAACUGUAUGUAAAAGAAGUUACAUUGAAUAUAUUUUAUAGAAAUAUGUGCACUUUUUAUCUGGCACUUUAUUGCUCACCCCUAAGGACAUCAUUCCUGUUGACCUAAACUAGUACAUCUAUUUGCAGUAGGAAAAGUGCUUUUGGAGAAAAUCACCUGUCUCCUCAGAACUGGUCUUACAAGUCUGUGAAGUAACACUAUGUGCCAGCCUAAUCACUCAUAUAUGACCUCAAGAGAACACCAAAUAAGCAUAUUUCCAGCAGGAAAUGACCAGUGCUUUGGUUAAGAAUGCACAUUAUACUGCAGUUCUUUGGGGAAUGAAGCCACCCUUGACUGAGGUAUUAUGCCAACUCUCACCCUGUGAAUCCACUGACUGGGGAACAUUGUUUAAGAAAAUCACAUGGCUGUGCCAACAAGCAAGGAGACACGGCACAGAAGACAGAGGCAGAAGCAGCUUUAUUGAAAAACAGAGCAUGAGUAGAACGACUUCAAAUCCCAUAUGGCACCACAGUGAGAAGUAACUUCCUCUGAGCUUCUUAGAGAAUCCAACAAUGUCCUGCUUCCUUGGGGAGCUGCAGCCAUGGGCACAUGGGAAUAGGGCUUCCACCAAGAGUCCCGUCAGUCACAGCAACAGGAGGUCUUCCUCAGACAACUUUGAUGAUAGUGGUUGUUAGCCAGAGCAAGCUAGAACCAGAAAGAAAAACUAUGAAGAUGCCACAGUGGGAGUCUGAGCACCUUGAGGCCUCCUGUUGGAAACUGGCAAACCUAACUGUGGGACACUUGGAUGCUGAGUUCUGGUAAACAUGCUGUCGGAGGCACGGUAAUUUAGUCAUUAACAUUUAAAAACGAUCUAAUUCUAUAUACAUACUCUGUUGAAGACUUCUUCCAACCACCUUGUAUUAUAAAUUUAAAAUAUGAAAUACAAACUCUUUAUGUGUCUUGACUCAGAUUACCUAGGAAGGGACAGUGACCUAUUCAUCAAUGUUUAGAAUUAGAGUAAGUUAUAGAAUAUAGUCUGAGAAAAUUACUUGGACCAAGAAAGCAAUGUCCCUGACAUUCAUCAAUCUAGAACCAGAGCUGCAGAUUAAGCUAGGUGCAAAUUUAUCAGAAAACAAUAUUUUUCCCAAAUACAUAUUGCAGCCAUAAAAUGCCCUAAAAACCCAGUUCUUAGAGGGACUAUUGCUUACUUACUGAGAAAUUGUAUUCUCUGAAAUCAUAGACUAUGAGAUGCAUUGCUGUUUAAAAUUAUUGCAAUAAGAAUGAAACAUCUCACUCUUAUCUGGAGGAGUUAAGUCAUUGUGAUCAGUGAAGCCUUGAUUUAAGCUCCUGUGCAAAGCUUCAGAGAAUGGGUCUCAGGACACAACAUUUGACAUCUAUUUUGACUUCAUUUCCAAGAAAAUAGGACUGCUAUGGUUUGAAUGUUUGUCUCCCUCAAACCAAGGUGUCGGAGGUGGGGCCUAAUGGGAGACGUUUGGGUUAUCAGGGAGGGUCCCUCAUGAAUAGAUUAAUGCUCUCCCUGGGGGUAGGGAACAGUUAGUGAGUUCUUGCUUUAUUCAUUCUCAAGAGAGCUGGUUGUUAAAUAGAGCCUGGCGCCUCCCUCCUCCCUCCUUGCUUUCUCUCUCACCGUAUGAUCUUAGCACAUUACACCUCCCCUCACCUUCUGCCAUGAGUGGAAGCAGCCUGAGCCUCUCACCAGGAGCAGAUGCUGGUGCCAUGCUUCUUGUACAGCCCACAGAGCAGUGAGCCAAAUAAACCUCUUUUCCUUAGAGAUUGCGCAGCCUCAGAUGUUCCUCUAGAGCAACACAAAAUGGACUAAGACAAGAACCAUAGGUCCAUUUCACAGUACAGAGCUGAGGUUGACCCCUUUUAUACACAACCAUACUUUCUUAGAGCCCAUAGAAUAUCAUUUCAUUUACAUCACACCUAAAUUCCACUCUUUAGCAAAAUCUUAUGUUAACCCUAUAUUUUCCUUUGUUUGAUGAGAUACCCCACAAUUGCUCUGUUGUGCAGUCCCCACACUGCAAUGAGUCAGUAAACUCAAUUGGUUUGUUUACAGGUUGUCCCUGGUGGUUUUAGGCUGAUUGGGCUAAGACAAACCACAUCUUAUUUUUUAAAUGUCUCCUUUAAGCAAAUGUUAUUAUCUGUAUUUUACUCUAUUCCAUAAGCAGAAGUGACAAAGUAGUCUAAUUUUACCAAAAGAUGCUUAUAGCAUAAAACUUUCUAUGCUGUAAACAUAGAAAGUACUUG